CAGUAGCCACGGUAAUACGAAGGGGGCUAGCGUUGCUCGGAAUCACUGGGCGUAAAGGGUGCGUAGGCGGGUCUUUAAGUCAGGGGUGAAAUCCUGGAGCUCAACUCCAGAACUGCCUUUGAUACUGAAGAUCUUGAGUUCGGGAGAGGUGAGUGGAACUGCGAGUGUAGAGGUGAAAUUCGUAGAUAUUCGCAAGAACACCAGUGGCGAAGGCGGCUCACUGGCCCGAUACUGACGCUGAGGCACGAAAGCGUGGGGAGCAAACAGGAUUAGAUACCCCGGUAGUCCCUGUCUCUUAUAC
RNAcentral lists this ribosomal RNA (301 nucleotides) under uncultured bacterium. Its description in RNAcentral is "partial 16S ribosomal RNA". It matches the Rfam family "Bacterial small subunit ribosomal RNA", at positions 509 to 807 of the family's 1533-position model. The record is from RNAcentral.